This 253-nucleotide ribosomal RNA is filed under the name uncultured bacterium. Its description in RNAcentral is "partial 16S ribosomal RNA". It matches the Rfam family "Bacterial small subunit ribosomal RNA", at positions 524 to 776 of the family's 1533-position model. The record is from RNAcentral.
UACGUAGGGUGCAAGCGUUAUCCGGAUUCACUGGGUUUAAAGGGUGCGUAGGAGGGCAGGUAAGUCAGUGGUGAAAUCUUCGAGCUUAACUCGGAAACUGCCGUUGAUACUAUCUGUCUUGAAUACCGUGGAGAUGAGCGGAAUAUGUCAUGUAGCGGUGAAAUGCUUAGAUAUGACAUAGAACACCAAUUGCGAAGGCAGCUCGUUACACGAAUAUUGACUCUGAGGCACGAAAGCGUGGGGAUCAAACAGG